This 1339-nucleotide long non-coding RNA is filed under the name Strigops habroptila (Kakapo). RNAcentral's name for it is "lncRNA (ENSSHBG00005009840.1)". Lineage: Eukaryota; Metazoa; Chordata; Aves; Psittaciformes; Psittacidae. The record is from RNAcentral.
CACACACACACACACACACGCACCCGCUCCGCUUCCCCGCGCAACGACAGACGCGCUCCCGGCGCCGGCAGCGAGCGGGGCGGCAAGCAGCGGCGGCGGCGGCGGGACUUUGCGAGAUGACCGGCCCCGCGUCCAGCGCGGGCGCGGAGCGGCAGACACUCAUGGGACAAGUCACUGAGAAGAGCACACAGGAAGCAAAAGGGAAUGGAAAACGGUUAAAUAAGGAGGAAUGUCUGCCAUGGGCUGCAGCCGCUUAGGAUACAUUGGGAUCCACAAGAGAAGGGACAAAUAAUGGGUUACAGAGCUCUGGUGCAACCAAAGGGACCCGUUUCCAGUCUUCUUAAUCAAAAUUGCAAUAACUGCAACAGGUGAGACAUGCGUGCUGUGGCCCCGAGACAGCAAACCAGUUCACAGGCUGCGGUUUCCAUAUCGGUUCCUAAAGCUGCUUGUAGGAAAUCACCCAGCCCAAAGAACCUCCUGGGAUCCCAGCCUCUACCUUCCUAUUUCAAAAUGCAUGGGACUACAAAUCUUCAUCAAAGGCAAGAGGAAUUGUCUGAGGAAUAAGGACUUCAAGAUUCAAUGAGUGCAUAUCAUGCCAGAGAGGCAGAAACUAACUGAAGUCUUGAACCAAAUUAUGCUAUUAUGGAUGUGUGCUUGCACAGAAAGCCAGCGAAUGGGCACUACAGCACCUCAGCUAUAUUUUGGUGGUGUUACCGAUACCUGAGUUACGCAGCUUUUUGCUCAAAGGGCUCUCCCUGCAGCAACAGAAAUUUUACUGUGACUCUUCCAAAGAUGCCUAAGGAGUCCUGCAUAAAUAUUCAGAGGAAGAGGGGUCUGGAUCUUCAUGACUGCAUUGAAAUGCUUGGCCCCACUGAACAGAGGCUCACACGUACCAGUUUUGAGGUGGUGUAACUUUAACAUCGUCAGAGUUAUUUCAGAUUUACCCGACUGCAGCUGGGAGCAGAGUCAGGCUCUGAUCACUUAGCAAAGCCUAUAAGAUAGUGACACAUACACCUCACUUACAGUGAGCCUUGGCACCUUCAUGUCAAUAUUUAUUUCCAGCCCUUCUCACUUUCCACUGGCAUUCAGAUGUAUGGCCAGCCUCUGUUAAAUAUUUUAUUUGUAUUGCAUGUAGCUGAAACAAGUUUAUGUUAGGUGAGAAAUGGUGGUGUAUUUGAACUCACACCGUCUACAAGGGUCUUCUGUGCACCACGGCGGGCACUGGCUCAGCUCCCCACCACCAGCUGCAACCCCAGCUGAGGAUGCGACUUAGGUGUGCACAAAUGCACUCGCAUGGCGAUACAGUCACAUUCAUCUGCCAAAGUCAGCAACAAAACCU